This is a non-coding RNA of Schistosoma curassoni, 45 nucleotides long. NCBI's taxonomy places the organism in Eukaryota, Metazoa, Platyhelminthes, Trematoda, Strigeidida, Schistosomatidae. The record is from Rfam.
AUCCAGCUGAUGAGUCCCAAAUAGGUCGAAACGCGCGUUCUGGUU